Long non-coding RNA from Dendronephthya gigantea, 481 nucleotides. RefSeq lists it as uncharacterized. The transcript is spliced from 2 exons. The record is from RefSeq and is a predicted model, not a curated record. NCBI's taxonomy places the organism in Eukaryota, Metazoa, Cnidaria, Anthozoa, Malacalcyonacea, Nephtheidae.
UCUGGGCUGCUAUGGUGGCUGUGGGCUAAUCAGAAUUAUUUGUAUGCAAGAGGCAGAAGUUUUAUCAAUCUUGGAAAAUCUCCAAGGAAAAUGUUUUCUUAAGGAUUGUUUUGGUUCGUUUUCGUAAAAGGUACACGCUAAUGAACUCCUGAUCAGUAUGGAAAGUUGAUCUCUUCAAUGCUGACCACAACAAAUAAACAAUCUCAACGAGUGUCACUGCAUCGAAGAGAAAAUUUAUCGUGAUAAAGCCGACAACAACUUGUUGUUUCUUCCCAGCCAUUGAAUAAGUGCAGUCCAGAAAUGAAGAAUUCGUAGUUGGUCCUGCGACGUUCUCAUGGGAAGUACUAGUUGUUGUUCUCAUGUUGGGCAAAGGACAUUCAAAAUGGGUCGGAAAAUUGGAUGAGGUUAAGAGAAAUGCUGAGAAUAUUGUCAGUGGUAUUAUACGACAAACGAUCAAAUGGAUUAUGUAAGCCAUAAAUAC